UACGUAGGGUGCGAGCGUUGUCCGGAAUUAUUGGGCGUAAAGAGCUCGUAGGCGGCUUGUCACGUCGGAUGUGAAAGCCCGGGGCUUAACUCCGGGUCUGCAUUCGAUACGGGCAGGCUAGAGUUCGGUAGGGGAGAUCGGAAUUCCUGGUGUAGCGGUGAAAUGCGCAGAUAUCAGGAGGAACACCGGUGGCGAAGGCGGAUCUCUGGGCCGAUACUGACGCUGAGGAGCGAAAGCGUGGGGAGCGAACAGG
Molecule: ribosomal RNA, 253 nt
Filed under: uncultured bacterium
Lineage: Bacteria
Description: partial 16S ribosomal RNA
Rfam family: Bacterial small subunit ribosomal RNA
Source: RNAcentral